UUUUAAGACGCAACCCGGUUCAACUUCUCGGGUUUGAAUGGAGCUGUUUGUGUGUAGUGGUAUGGAAGCUAUGGAACCGUGUAGCGUAUCUUAAUACAACGAAUGGAUUAUGAUUUAUCACAUUUUCUACUGAUCAUGGCAGCAGCGGCGGCAUCAAAUACCAAUACAUGUUUAAAAAGAAAUACGGGCGGCGGCGGGAAUCGAACCGAGACACUAUCAUGGUGAUACAC
Molecule: long non-coding RNA, 230 nt
Organism: Aedes albopictus (Asian tiger mosquito)
Lineage: Eukaryota; Metazoa; Arthropoda; Insecta; Diptera; Culicidae
Exons: 2
Source: RefSeq, a predicted model, not a curated record